AAGUAAAAGGGUAAAAAAUAAAUUAGAUACCCAAGGAUUAUUAUCCAAAGAUACUCCAAAUACACCUUAUGAUGAAUUCAGUUCCCUUCAGCAAACAAAAUUUAAAUAUUCCUUACAAAAGAGAAGAAUAAAGAUGAUUCACCCGAGAGUAACUGAUGCCCAGCUGCUAGCACAAUUCCUUAAGACAUGAAAGUCUUUGGUUAAUGUUCAGUUUGCCUGAUUCAGUGCAUGGGAAGAAAUGCAGUCUUCCUAACUCAAAGUACUGUGAGAUGAGAAUGAUCCUUUUUCUGUGCAAUGAUAAACAGGGUGAUCAUGUAUGGUGGGUUAUCACCAACUGGAGGAGAACUGGAGUACACAUAAUGCUGUGGAAGGGUGACAGUGCUUCCUUGAGGGUAGGCAAAGUGGGAUAUGCCUGAGCCACAGCAUCUCACAGCAUUUAUUUGGUAAAGGAGGACACAACCCUCAAGUAGCUCUGUGAACUUAGCCUUUCAUUUCCUUGGCUUCCAUUACAAUGCACAAACCCAAAACAUUUAGAAACGUCAAAACAGUUCAUUUUGACAUUUUCAAAAUGAAGCAUUUCAACAUUGUGUUGAAACGUUUUUGUCAGUUUUGUUUCUACUCAGAGAAUUUGUCAAAUAGUUCCAGCCACUCUGAAACUUCUUUGUUCAGAAAUAAAUGCUGCAUUGAUUUUUCCCUUUUUUGUUCAGCUUUGAUUUUCAAGUAGCUUAGCCACUACCCUACUUAUGCCUGGUAAAAUUUUUUGUUCUAGUUCAUUUCAAAUUGCAAUUUAACGUAAAAGGCUUAUUGCAAUAUGCAAUGCUAAAGACCGUUUAGUCAACACAAACCCUAUAGAUGUUUAGGAGAUCCUAUGAUGUUUAGAAGAACACAAGAUGUGUAACAUUUUGCUAAUUGAAUAAGUCAGGUUUUAUUAGUUAGCAGCAUCCUUCCAUUUCCCACUAAAGUCAAUAUAUUUACAUAUAUAUAAAGCUUCAAUUUACAGGCUGUAAACAGCCAAAAUAUUGCAAUGCAAUUAAUAAUUGCUAGUGUAUUUACAUGGAAAUUAUUCAGCAAUUGAUAUUUUACAGGAAAGUGUAACAGGUAGGUUUGGUCUCACAAGGUAAUCUUCUGAACAACUUACUUCCUAGAGCUCAGAAGCACCGGACUUCGGAACACAGCUUCACAUUGGUAUAAGGUUAUAAUCUACCAUUUUGAAAAAAAUACCUCUAUACCUGUAGAUGUAUUUUUCACUUAGCCUUGUUAAACCACAGACUGUAGCUUUGAGUCAACAGUAGACAAACGAAAAGGACCACAAUGAUCAUUGAGUUUCAACCGCCCUGCUAUGUGCAGGGUCGCCAACCACCAGACCAGGCUGCCCAGAGCCACAUCCAGCCUGGCCUCGAAUGACUCCCGGGAUGGGGCAUCCACAACCUCCUUUUUGCAAAUAAAAUAAUUUGCAAAUAAAUGCCAUGCUCUUAUGGUUAAUGUGGUUUGUCUAGAGAACAGAGCAGAAAUGCCAGUUUCAUACCUUCCUAUAGCAGGAAAAGAGUUUUAAAAUGUGUUUUGCAAGCUUUUCUGAAACAUUCUUAUACAUACAAAAGAACCUGGCAGAGACUGUAUAAAUGAUGGCAUAAGAGCACAUGCAGUCAGGCUAGCUAACUGGUAACUAGCUGAAAAGUCAACUUAAAUCCCAGACUAAAGGUUCUCCUGACCCUUUUCAGCCAUGCUCAAACAUGAGCACACGCUUCUCAACACAUAGCUACCUCUUCCUUUCAAUAGAUGCGUGCUGACUAAAGUAGCAGUAGUAUUUUGAAAUAUAAAGAGAGAUGGAACUUGAGGCUGCUUAAAGACAUACUCAGUGUUAAACAAGGAAAAUAAAAAACAAAAUAAAAUUUAGUUAUUGAAACCACUGGAAAUUCAUAAUCAGUUUUAUUAAUGUUACUAUUAUUAAUCCUCUUCACUGGGGUUACUUUGCUGAUUCUGUAAUUAUCAUUAUCAAUAUCUCUUCCAUUGAAAUGACAGAAAAAAUAAAGAAAGCAGAAGAUUUUGUUCUGAAUAGAAGAAAACAAGUCUCCAUUACAACCAUGCUCUAAUGCCUAAUGAAGUCAAGGGGCAAUUCCACAGUCUUCAAGGUCCUCGGGUAUUCAGUUCCUAAAUUAAACUCUCAGCAGCAAUUUUCCUAUGAUCUACUCAAGCUUCAGUGCUUCAUAGAGGUGUAUAUAUAAGUAUAUAAUAUAUAUAUAAAAUACAUCUAAUCAUGUUUAUCAUGUUAGCAAUUAUGCAUUUUAUCAACUUUAUUAUUAUUUUUUUGUAUCCUCAAUGAAAUCUUGCAGUCUUACAAAUCAGGAAAUUUUGCAAAUAUGAGCUGUACCUGGAAAUCACUGCAGAACAUUGGAGAAAGGCUGGAGAUCAUAAAACACAAAGGCUCAGCCCCAGCUUGCAGGGUUUGAGGCUUGGAGACAUCAUCACAGUCUGCAAUGAGGAGGAAGACAUUUGUGUGACUGAAUCAUAAAGAUAUUUUGUGUUUCUCAAAACUACGUGAUUACUCAGGAAUUUCAGUAUUGAGCACAUUCUCAGCUGUGUUUGGGAUCAGCAUCCUAUGUUGCCACUGAUAUUUUCUCCAGAAAUGUACACUAGUAUAGUCCUCUAUAAUCAAUAAUCAGAAGGGACGUCUGCAAUAAAAUUAAAUUUGCUAACUGAAAU
Gallus gallus (chicken) is the source of this 2700-nucleotide long non-coding RNA. Lineage: Eukaryota; Metazoa; Chordata; Aves; Galliformes; Phasianidae. The record is from Ensembl.